AGAGGCUUAGGCUAAUAAUUAAACCAAGGGCCUUCAAAGCCCUAAUUGAGGGUGAAAACCCCCCAGCCCCUG
This 72-nucleotide transfer RNA is filed under the name Danacetichthys galathenus. RNAcentral's name for it is "tRNA-Trp". It matches the Rfam family "tRNA". From Rfam's summary of the family: Transfer RNA (tRNA) molecules are approximately 80 nucleotides in length. Their secondary structure includes four short double-helical elements and three loops (D, anti-codon, and T loops). Further hydrogen bonds mediate the characteristic L-shaped molecular structure. tRNAs have two regions of fundamental functional importance: the anti-codon, which is responsible for specific mRNA codon recognition, and the 3' end, to which the tRNAs corresponding amino acid is attached (by aminoacyl-tRNA synthetases). tRNAs cope with the degeneracy of the genetic code in two manners: having more than one tRNA (with a specific anti-codon) for a particular amino acid; and 'wobble' base-pairing, i.e. permitting non-standard base-pairing at the 3rd anti-codon position. The record is from RNAcentral. Lineage: Eukaryota; Metazoa; Chordata; Actinopteri; Beryciformes; Cetomimidae.